CACGUAGGGUGCGAGCGUUGUCCGGAAUUAUUGGGCGUAAAGAGCUCGUAGGCGGUGUGUCGCGUCGGCCGUGAAAACCUGCGGCUUAACUGUGGGCUUGCGGUCGAUACGGGCAUCACUGGAGUUCGGCAGGGGAGACUGGAAUUCCUGGUGUAGCGGUGAAAUGCGCAGAUAUCAGGAGGAACACCGGUGGCGAAAGCGACUCUCUGGACGGCAACUGACGCUGAGGCACGAAAGCGUGGGGAGCAAACAGG
Molecule: ribosomal RNA, 254 nt
Filed under: uncultured bacterium
Lineage: Bacteria
Description: partial 16S ribosomal RNA
Rfam family: Bacterial small subunit ribosomal RNA
Source: RNAcentral